RNAcentral lists this transfer-messenger RNA (353 nucleotides) under Planctomycetota bacterium. Its description in RNAcentral is "Planctomycetes bacterium (marine sediment metagenome) transfer-messenger RNA". It matches the Rfam family "transfer-messenger RNA". From Rfam's summary of the family: Bacterial tmRNA, also known as 10Sa RNA or SsrA, is named for its dual tRNA and mRNA-like properties. Its role is to liberate the mRNA from a stalled ribosome. Lineage: Bacteria; Pseudomonadati; Planctomycetota. The record is from RNAcentral. RNAcentral also lists the same sequence under 1 other name.
GGGGGCGAAUGGUAUCGACCGGAUGAGAGAGAUUCAGGUUGCAUGUCCAGGAUGUCGGUUGGCCUGGUAAAAAACCCGGCAAAUUUUUUAAUUGGUAACUCACAGUUACGAAUGGCCGCUUAAAUAAGCGACCCGUCCUGUAGGACCUUGUCUGGUGGUUUUAUAAGGGCGUCACUAUUCAGACUGGCCAAAUUGGGUGUUCGUACCAAUGCGGCGAGACCUAAUCGAACUAGCUGACUUAAUAGCGUGUCUCUUGGCGAUUAAUGACGCGAAACUUAAUGAAGUGACUAAGCAUGUAGACGCCUGUUUUGAAGCAUCUCGGGACGGGGGUUCGAAUCCCCCCGCCUCCAAUU